GUCCACGCCGUAAACGAUGAUAACUAGAUGUUGGUCAGCUUAGACUGUUCAGUAUCGAAGCUAACGCGAUAAGUUAUCCGCCUGGGGAGUACGGUCGCAAGAUUAAAACUCAAAGGAAUUGACGGGGGCCCCGCACAAGCGGUGGAGCAUGUGGUUUAAUUCGAUGCAACGCGAAGAACCUUACCUACCCUUGACAUCCAGAGAAUCCUGCAGAGAUGCGGGAGUGCCGAAAGGAAUUAUGAGACAGGUGCUGCAUGGCUGUCGU
RNAcentral lists this ribosomal RNA (265 nucleotides) under uncultured bacterium. RNAcentral describes it as "partial 16S ribosomal RNA". It matches the Rfam family "Bacterial small subunit ribosomal RNA", at positions 793 to 1055 of the family's 1533-position model. The record is from RNAcentral.